AUGCGAAGGGAGGGAGCUGCUCCAUUUUUUUUCUCCUCCAUCUUAAAUAUGUAUGUAUGGGGAAAAAUACAUUAAACGGACUUUCUUCUGGUUUUUUUGUCUUCCUCUUGGCAAGGUUCCUGUUGGAAAGCCAAGUUCUGCCUGUUAAGAGUAAGUGUGAGGAAAAGCAGAGCCCACCAAGAAUCACGGAGGAAGUGCCUGAAAGUUGCAUUCCUAGUCUCCUCUGCUGUCCUCGUUAGCCUCUUGAGCUGGAGCUACUUGGUCAGCGAAGAUGGGGUCGCCGAGGUUCUGGCUCAUUACAGCGAAAGUCUGCAGGACAGAUUCAUUGAGGUGCCCUGCUCCGAGGACUAUGACAGCCAUAAAAGAUUUGAAGGGUGCACUCCUAGAAAGUGUGGAAGAGGCAUAACAGACGCAGUAAUCACCAGGGAGGAAGCUGAAAGAAUCCGUAGAAUAGCGGAGAGGGGACUGUCCUUGGGAGGAUCUGAUGGAGGGGUGAGCAGCGUCCUGUUACCUUUUACAUUCUUCUGUUUUUAAGGCAAGAUUUUCAGGUUUUAAAUGCAUUUUUGGGAGGGGGCAAGGGGAGGAAGUAGGAUGGA
Chrysemys picta bellii (western painted turtle) is the source of this 596-nucleotide non-coding RNA. The record is from RefSeq and is a predicted model, not a curated record. NCBI's taxonomy places the organism in Eukaryota, Metazoa, Chordata, Testudines, Emydidae.